RNAcentral lists this ribosomal RNA (256 nucleotides) under uncultured Glomeromycotina. RNAcentral's name for it is "partial large subunit ribosomal RNA". Lineage: Eukaryota; Fungi; Glomeromycota. The record is from RNAcentral.
UAGUGGAACUGGUGCAAAAUCAGCUUAUGCAUCAAGGCAAUUAGCGCAUUGGCGAGCCUAAAAACCGCCAUAGUCGACAUUCAAUUACUUGUGUGGGGUGCAUUUUUGUAUCAGCUGGUUAACAUCAAUUUUGGCUGUCAUAAAAAGGCUAAAGGGGAUGUGGUUCCUUCGGGAGUGUGAUAACCUUUAGCGGAAUAUGGUGGUCGGGAUUGAGGUAUGCAACGAAUACCUUUAGGGCUGCUCAAACUGGUCUGGU